GGAUUCCCCUAGUAACUGCGAGUGAAGCGGGAAAAGCUCAAAUUUAAAAUCUGGCGGUUCUGCCGUCCGAGUUGUAAUUUAGAGAAGCGUUAUCCGCGCUGGACCGUGUACAAGUCUCCUGGAAUGGAGCGUCAUAGAGGGUGAGAAUCCCGUCUUUGACACGGACUGCCAGGGCAUUGUGAUGCGCUCUCAAAGAGUCGAGUUGUUUGGGAAUGCAGCUCAAAAUGGGUGGUAAAUUCCAUCUAAAGCUAAAUAUUGGGGAGAGACCGAUAGCGAACAAGUACCGUGAGGGAAAGAUGAAAAGAACUUUGGAAAGAGAGUUAAACAGUACGUGAAAUUGUUGAAAGGGAAACGCUUGAAGUCAGUCGCGCCGUUCAGGACUCAGCCUUGCUUUGCUUGGUGUACUUCUUGUUCGGUGGGUCAGCAUCAAUUUUGGUCGGUGGAUAAAGGCUCAGAGAAUGUGGCAUCUUCGGGUGUGUUAUAGCUCUGGGUCGCAUACAUCGACUGGGAUUGAGGAACUCAGCACGCCGCAAGGCCGGGUACUUGUACCACGUACGUGCUUAGGAUGCUGGCAUAAUGGCUUUAAUCGA
RNAcentral lists this ribosomal RNA (590 nucleotides) under uncultured fungus. Its description in RNAcentral is "eukaryotic LSU rRNA". It matches the Rfam family "Eukaryotic large subunit ribosomal RNA", at positions 72 to 647 of the family's 3401-position model. Lineage: Eukaryota; Fungi. The record is from RNAcentral.